Long non-coding RNA from Anneissia japonica, 252 nucleotides. RefSeq lists it as uncharacterized. NCBI's taxonomy places the organism in Eukaryota, Metazoa, Echinodermata, Crinoidea, Comatulida, Comatulidae. The record is from RefSeq and is a predicted model, not a curated record. The transcript is spliced from 3 exons.
ACAGCCUCUAGCCGACGAAGCCGUAGCAUAGCUAAGCUAGGCCAGGCCAGUGGCUGCUAGGCCUACUACUACUACUACGGUGCAGCAGCUGAUGAUGCAGAGUUCGAUAGAAAAAGAACAUGGUAGAGUAGUGGAAAGUACCUAAAUGAAGAUGGAAAAAAAAAACAGAUAAUGAUGGAUAGAUAAGUGUUGGCACAUCUCACAGAUACGUGUGAAAAUCAUUCAUCCCAUCAACCAUUUUUGGCUAUCAAA